RNA transcript from Mandrillus leucophaeus (drill), 823 nucleotides. It is a transcript of the gene named programmed cell death protein 10 pseudogene, with no coding region annotated. The record is from RefSeq and is a predicted model, not a curated record. Lineage: Eukaryota; Metazoa; Chordata; Mammalia; Primates; Cercopithecidae. The transcript has a single exon.
GAAUUGAUCCGGGAGUUGACGAGGGCUGCAAAGGUGGGAAGUGAAGUCAGUGCCUCAGUUGCUGAUCAGUGUGUGUUCUGUGUCCAAUUCUUUUAUCACCAAAAAAGAGAAGAAAUAUUGCAGUGAAUGAAGAUUCCUCUGCAUUUUAGCACUGCUUUUUCAACUGUGGUUGGCUUUUGAAUGAGGAUGACAAUGGAAGAGAUGAAGAAUGAAGCUGAGACCACAUCCAAGGUUUCUGCGCCCCUCUCUGUAGUCAUGUAUCCUGUGUUUAAAGAGCUAGAACGAGUAAAACUGUCUGCAGCCCAGACACUGAGAGCCGCUUUCAUUAAGACUGAAAAAGAAAAUCCAGGUCUUACACAAGACAUCAUUAUGAAAAUUUUAGAGAAAAAAAGUGUAGAAGUUAACUUCAUAGAGAGUCCCUUCUUUGUAUGGCAGCUGAUGAUAUAAAAGAGUAUAUGAUUGAGUGGCCAGAGCCAGAAUUCCAAGACCUAAAUGAAAAGGCACGAGCACUUAAACAAAUUCUCAGUAAGAUCCCAGAUGAGAUCAAUGACAGAGUGAGGUUUCUGCAGACAAUCAAGGAUAUAGCUAGUGCAAUAAAAGAACUUCUUGAUACGGUGAAUAAUGUCUUCAAGAAAUAUCAGUACCAGAACCGCAGGGCACUUGAAUACAAAAAGAAAGAAUUUGUAAAGUACUCCAAAAGUUUCAGUGAUACUCUGAAAAUGUAUUUUAAAGAUGGCAAGGCAAUAAAUGUGUUCGUAAGUGCCAACCGACUAAUUCAUCAAACCAACUUAAUACUUCAGACCUUCAAAACUGUGGCCUGAAA